CGAGAGUCGAAGUCAAAAGAGACUGCGAGAUCGGACGGCGGCGCAAAGCUUUGCAGCUUCAACCGCCUGCUUCGACACCCACACAGUCGCAAAAGCACACAGAUACACGUUGGCGCGUAGAAUUUGUUUUGCCAAUUGCCCUGACUAAGCCCUUUGUUUAUUUGUUUAUUUAUGCAAAUUAGAGGUGUUGCGGUCACGGUCGGAUAUCUGGUGGUUUGAAAGUGAUAUAUAUUUAAUACGAAUUGGAUUCCCAAGGUUAAGACAGACAUUAAAAAUAUAUAUUAAUUGUUUUUCCCAAAUCCUAUUAAAAUUAUUCACUUUUCAUCAUAA
This is a long non-coding RNA of Drosophila ananassae, 330 nucleotides long. RefSeq lists it as uncharacterized. NCBI's taxonomy places the organism in Eukaryota, Metazoa, Arthropoda, Insecta, Diptera, Drosophilidae. The record is from RefSeq and is a predicted model, not a curated record. The transcript has 2 exons.